CAAUAGCGUAUAUUAAAGUUGUUGCAGUUAAAAGCUCGUAGUUGGAUUUCUGGUGGGAGCGUCCGGUCCGCCCGGCAACGGGUGUGCACUGGUGGCGUCUCCGGCCACUUUAUCACCGAACGAUUCUGGCAUUAAGUUGUCGGGGUCGGGAGGUGGUUCAUUUACUGUGAAAAAUUAGAGUGUUUAAAGCAGGCAAUCGCUGUGAAUACAUUAGCAUGGAAUAAUAAGAUAGGACUUUGGUACUAUUUUGUUGGUUUGCAUACCAAGGUAAUGAUUAACAGGGACAGUUGGGGGUAUUUAUAUUUAGAUGUCAGAGGUGAAAUUCUUGGAUUUUCUAAAGAUAAACUACUGCGAAAGCAUUUACCAAGGAUGUUUUCAUUAAUCAAGAACGAAAGUUAGGGGAUCGAAGACGAUUAGAUACCAU
RNAcentral lists this ribosomal RNA (424 nucleotides) under uncultured eukaryote. Its description in RNAcentral is "bacterial SSU rRNA". It matches the Rfam family "Eukaryotic small subunit ribosomal RNA", at positions 592 to 1018 of the family's 1831-position model. The record is from RNAcentral.